This 253-nucleotide ribosomal RNA is filed under the name uncultured bacterium. RNAcentral's name for it is "partial 16S ribosomal RNA". It matches the Rfam family "Bacterial small subunit ribosomal RNA", at positions 524 to 776 of the family's 1533-position model. The record is from RNAcentral. RNAcentral also lists the same sequence under 1 other name.
UACGUAGGGGGCGAGCGUUGUCCGAAGUUACUGGGCGUAAAGCGCGUGUAGGCGGGUCUUUAAGUGAGGGGUGAAAGGUUUGGGCUUAACCCAGACACUGCCUUUCAUACUGGAGACCUUGAGUGCGGGAGAGGCGAGUGGAAUGGUCGGUGUAGCGGUGAAAUGCGUAGAUAUCGAUCGGAACACCCAUGGCGAAGGCAGCUCGCUGGCCUGUAACUGACGCUGAGACGCGAAAGCGUGGGGAGCAAACAGG